Molecule: ribosomal RNA, 422 nt
Filed under: uncultured bacterium
Lineage: Bacteria
Description: bacterial SSU rRNA
Rfam family: Bacterial small subunit ribosomal RNA
Source: RNAcentral
UGAGGAAUAUUGGGCAAUGCCCGCAAGGGUGACCCAGCAACGCCGCGUGGAGGAUGAAUGACGUAAGAUUGUAAACUCCUGUUAGAGGGGAAGAAUAGUACCGGUUGGACCGGUAUAUGACUGUACCCUCAGAGAAAGCCCCGGCUAACUACGUGCCAGCAGCCGCGGUAAUACGUAGGGGGCAAGCGUUGUCCGGAUUUACUGGGUGUAAAGGGCGCGCAGGCGGGAUAAAAAGUCAGUGGUGAAAUCCUACAGCUUAACUGUAGAACUGCCUUUGAUACUUUUAUUCUUGAGUUCGGGAGAGAGAGACGGAAUUCCAGGUGUAGUGGUGAAAUACGUAGAUAUCUGGAAGAACACCAGUUGCGAAGGCGGUCUCUUGGUCCGACACUGACGCUGAGGCGCGAAAGCGUGGGGAGCAAACA